AUACGUAGGUGGCAAGCGUUGUCCGGAAUUAUUGGGCGUAAAGCGCGCGCAGGUGGUUCCUUAAGUCUGAUGUGAAAGCCCCCGGCUCAACCGGGGAGGGUCAUUGGAAACUGGGGAACUUGAGUGCAGAAGAGGAUAGUGGAAUUCCAAGUGUAGCGGUGAAAUGCGUAGAGAUUUGGAGGAACACCAGUGGCGAUGGCGAAUGUCUGGUCUGUAACUGACCCUGAGGGGCGAAAGCGUGGGGAGCAAAUAGGAUUAGAUCCCCUGGUAGUCCACGCCGUAAACGAUGAGUGCUAAGUGUUGGGGGGUUUCCGCCCCUCAGUGCUGCAGCUAACGCAUUAAGCACUCCGCCUGGGGAGUACGGUCGCAAGACUGAAACUCAAAUGAAUUGACGGGU
Molecule: ribosomal RNA, 397 nt
Filed under: uncultured bacterium
Lineage: Bacteria
Description: partial 16S ribosomal RNA
Rfam family: Bacterial small subunit ribosomal RNA
Source: RNAcentral